UCCAGGGUUUGAGUUUAUAUUUAUAUUUACAUUUACAUUUACAUUUACAUUUACAUUUACAUUUACAUUUAGACUUUUGCACAUUUAACUAAAUGUGAGAAAACGUGUUGUGUCAUUUACUUAAAUGUGAGAAAACUAGUUAUAGGUGCUCCUUUUACAAUCGGCACCCCAUAUGAGUUACCCUCUAUCAUGUGAAGGUUCAGACCUGAAAAGUGUUUCAUAAAAUAAAUGACAGUCCUUCAUUGAUCGAUUACCAAUGGUCCCUUUUCCCCUGAAGGUGUCAGCAUGCGAUGACUCGUCUCCCAACUCUCAGGUCACGGCUCAUUUACAUCCUAGAGACUAAAGCUAAGCUUCAAAUGUGACAGUGUUGACAUGCAGAGUCCUGUUUGUGGAGGGAGGGGAGUCAACAGGCCGCCGCAUCAGGAUAAAUGAGGAGCCGAGCUGCGGCUUCAGAGCCAGAUGAGAUGCAGAUUCCUGUGCUGCUUGUGUCGCUUGUGCUGGUCUGGAGUCUGGCCGAUGGAGCCAUUGUGUCCAAAUGUGACCUGAGGGAGCAGCUGGAGAAAGCCAUCGGCAACCUGACGGUGACGUCCAGGCAGAAACCGCUGGCUGGAGCCGACCUGGUGGCCAAGUUUGUCUGUCAUGCACAGCUGGCGUCUCAUUUUAACACCAGCUUAGUGAAGCGCUUGACCACGAAUAUCUACAAGGACCCGCUCAACCUGCUGUGGCCCCACAACCGGAGAAGACGGAGCACGCUGAGCCGCCGUCCCAAGGAUUCCAGCGGCUGCGUGCGAUGCCGCCGAGCUGCAGAGGCCGAUGGCGGCGGGACGUUCUACGGCAUCUUCCAGUUCAGCAGUCGUCUGGUCUGCAGCGACGGCAGCGCUCCAUCGCCCACCAUCUGUGGGCUGCCCUGCAGCAGUGGGUUCUGUACUUGGCCUGGGUAUCACUGGUGCACACGGAGAUCUCUGCUUCUGGUCACUGUGUGCUGUUUGUGUCUUUGGUGUCUUUGCUUUACAACUGGCUUUAAACCUUUUGUCUUUACAGAAUUAGUUGAUGACAACAUAAGUGACGACAUCCGCUGCCUGAAAAGUAUCUUCACUGUCCCUGGGAACGGCAGCUUGGGAGAAGCCGACCAGGAGGAAUUAGAGAAAAUGAUCGGGCUCAUCCUACAACCGCAGUGCUGCACCAUCCAACCCUCUGUGUACUUCGCUGAGUGCCCCUGA
This 1220-nucleotide long non-coding RNA is filed under the name Betta splendens (Siamese fighting fish). Its description in RNAcentral is "lncRNA (ENSBSLG00000012865.1)". Lineage: Eukaryota; Metazoa; Chordata; Actinopteri; Anabantiformes; Osphronemidae. The record is from RNAcentral.